Molecule: transfer RNA, 73 nt
Organism: Ovis aries (sheep)
Lineage: Eukaryota; Metazoa; Chordata; Mammalia; Artiodactyla; Bovidae
Rfam family: tRNA
About the family: Transfer RNA (tRNA) molecules are approximately 80 nucleotides in length. Their secondary structure includes four short double-helical elements and three loops (D, anti-codon, and T loops).
Source: Rfam
UCCCUGGUGGUCCAGGGUCUAAGACUCGGCGCUCCCAAAGCAGGGGGCCUGAGUUCAAUCCCCGGCCAGGGAA